This 247-nucleotide ribosomal RNA is filed under the name uncultured bacterium. RNAcentral describes it as "partial 16S ribosomal RNA". It matches the Rfam family "Bacterial small subunit ribosomal RNA", at positions 523 to 769 of the family's 1533-position model. The record is from RNAcentral.
AUACGGAGGGUGCGAGCGUUGUUCGGAAUUAUUGGGCGUAAAGCGCGUGUAGGCGGUUUGUUAAGUCUGAUGUGAAAGCCCCGGGCUCAACCUGGGAAGUGCAUUGGAUACUGGCAGACUUGAAUACGGGAGAGGGCAGUGGAAUUCCUGGUGUAGGAGUGAAAUCCGUAGAUAUCAGGAGGAAUACCGGUGGCGAAGGCGGCCCCCUGGACGAAGACCGACGCUCAGGUGCGAAAGCGUGGGGAGC